Molecule: ribosomal RNA, 576 nt
Filed under: uncultured organism
Description: bacterial SSU rRNA
Rfam family: Bacterial small subunit ribosomal RNA
Source: RNAcentral
ACACAUGCAAGUCGAACGAUGAAGCAUUCUUCGGAAUGUGGAAGAGUGGCGAACGGGUGAGGAACACGUAAGAAUCUGCCCCUCGGUCGGGGACAACUCUUGGAAACGAGAGCUAAUACCCGAUACGCUGUGGAGUGAAAGAAUUUCGCCGAGGGAUGAUCUUGCGUCUGAUUAGCUAGUUGGUGUGGUAAUGGCACACCAAGGCGACGAUCAGUAGCUGGUCUGAGAGGAUGGACAGCCACAUUGGAACUGAGACACGGUCCAAACUCCUACGGGAGGCAGCAGUGGGGAAUUUUCCGCAAUGGACGCAAGUCUGACGGAGCGACGCUGCGUGAAGGAUGACGGCCCGCGGGUUGUAAACUUCUUUUCUCGAAGAAGAAACAAAUGACGGUAUUCGAGGAGUAAGCAUCGGCUAACUCCGUGCCAGCAGCCGCGGUAAGACGGAGGAUGCAAGUGUUAUUCGGAAUGAUUGGGCGUAAAGAGUCUGUAGGCCGUAUAGAAAGUCUUUUGUUAAAUGCCUCGGCUCAACCGAGAUCCAGCAAAGGAAACUUCUAUACUUGAGGGAAGUAGAGGUAC